GGCCCCGCCCUUGGAUCCCUCCGCCUUAAAGGAGUGGCUGCGGGCCACGCACCUGCCGCCGCCCGCCCACCUUGACGUCAUGGAGUAGGACAUGUCCCCCCUCAAGAUGAGCAGGGAGCAUGCAUAUGCAAUUAGGGAUGUAUCUGCGGGCGAAUACCCUACGGACUGCCUCAGAAAACUCAAGGUAGGCGCUUCCACCCCCCCACCCCCCAAGAGUCCAGAACUCAGGGGACUGAAAGAGAAUGGAGGUGGCCAACUCGGCUGCCAUUUCCAGACCCGAUCUUACUAGAAUGUUCCCUACAAAUCGCACAUCAAGAGAAAAGGAUGAUAAAUUCCUUGUCCAACUUUAAGGAGGCCCCCGAUUCCCCCAUCCCCACCCUCCCGGGUACAGCACAGCUUCAGGCUGGGAGCCGCUUUCCCCGAGGGGAGGGGCACGGGCCUGGGCUGGUAGGGACUCUUUGGCGGCCUGCGGCGGAAGGAUCAGCAGCGGUGGUGCUGCGAUUUCUUCCAGCAGUUUCUAGGCCUGUCUCGGCGGUCUCCACCCCUCCCCCCUAGGCUCCACCUCCCCUGCUGCGGCGGGGGCAGUGUCUUCGUCGCCGCUUGGCUGGGUGGCUUUUUUUUUUUUUUUUUUUCCCCUACCUUGAUCUUACCCUGGGAAGAAAUUUUCCCCAAGUCUGCCUACCGUGGGCCAGGGUUGAACGACCCUCCACGCGUGGCCCUAAGAGGCCCACAUAACAGUGGGGGAGUGGAGCGCAGAGGGAGGGAUAGCUGACCUGGAUCGGUCACAGGGCACGGGGGCUGUGGGGGUGAGUGACUGCGGACACCUUCUAGUGAACAGAGAACCGAGCUAGCAGCUUGCGCUACUGGGUAGAACACUCCCCACCCCUCAGCCUCCCCGGUCUCCCACGUACACAGCGCGCGGGUACGUGCGCCCUCCCUAUGUGAGCACAAGCUGUUUCUCAAGCUGGUUUCGCUUCUCUAGCCUCUUCCCUACUGCAUGCAGCUCUUUGGACCUAGAGAGGAGCAGGUCCCAGUCUUUUCAGAGAAGCUGGAGUUCUAGGCAUCCGCAUGAAGGUGCUGGUCACAGGUUGGCCCAGUUCCAGGAGCCAGAAAACCAAGUUGUGCCAGUGCCUCUGUUCUAAAGGUGGCCUGCCAUGUCCUUCAGCUGGCAAUCUAGCCUUGCCUUUUUCCAAGGCUGCAUCUGGAAGCUUGUUGGACUGAUGAGCCCUCCAGUAGAGGAUGGGCACUCAGUGCUCUGCUAUCUUAGCUCAUGCUGGCUUGUGUCCCCACACCACCGCCCACACCUUUGUUCCCGGUGCUUGCCUGCAGUCUGUCUAAUGUGCAUUCAUUGUUAAACAGUAGUUGCUUUCUCCUUG
Molecule: long non-coding RNA, 1376 nt
Organism: Mus musculus (house mouse)
Lineage: Eukaryota; Metazoa; Chordata; Mammalia; Rodentia; Muridae
Product: predicted gene, 35399
Exons: 2
Source: RefSeq, a predicted model, not a curated record